This 4522-nucleotide long non-coding RNA is filed under the name Xyrichtys novacula (pearly razorfish). Lineage: Eukaryota; Metazoa; Chordata; Actinopteri; Labriformes; Labridae. The record is from RNAcentral.
UGAAAGAGUCUGUUUCGGAUCGAUUUGCCUGCUGAUUUCUGUCGAGUGAUUUACUGUGAAAUCAUUUUCCUAAAGCUGCAGAUAAGACGUGUUCAGCGUGCACACUUGAGCAGACACACACCUGCAGGAUAACAUGCAUGAGCGGCUCUUCAUGCUUGCCGAACAUCUCCUCCUCGCACGGUGGUUAGCUCGCAGUAUUUACAUCCAGUGAUUUGCAUUCUGAGGAAAAACAAAACGACUCAUGUUGUUUGAUGAUCGACUUUAAAACACAAAUGUUGUGGUGACGAUAUUUCAGGAUAAAAGUAUAACUAAACAAUAAUGAGGUGUACUGUAUGAGUGGUUAGGGUUUCUGUUUUUACUGUGAUUUAAAGGCAGACAAUAACAUCAUCAACCAAAAUUUCAUUUUCUUCAUGUAAAGUAAAGACAUGUAGUCAAGUACAAAUAUGACUUGACCCUAAAAAAUCCUAACAAAGGUUUCUCAGCUGUUUUUUUAUAGUAUUAGAUGUCCUUAAUAAUAAACUAAAAGGUGACCAAAGUUUGACCUCUGGAAAGGCGUCAUUUUCAAGAUGGCGUCCAUGAUGGUAGGAGACGCCCCAGGUGAAUAGGGUAAAAUAUUUAACAGAUAUCCCCAUGAAACUUCCAGAGUUUAUAACUUACAUUAAGACAAAUAUUUUUUAUAUUACAAGUUUAGUCAAAUGUUAUGUUUGAAUAUGUAAAUGAGGUCAUAUCUGAUUAAAUAGGAGAUAAGGCGAACAGCAGAGACAGUCACUUCUUUUAAGUCAAAUUUAAAAACUCACUUUUACAGACUUGAUUUUAUGAGAUGUCGUCUUUUAUCUUUUUUCCUUUUUAUAUUUGAGUUUUUCGGGGUGGUUUCAGUGUUUUCCCAUUUACAGAGAGAUAAAAACAGAUAUCCAAAGUCAACCCCCCCCAUCUGACUCUAGUAUGUCAACAAAAUAAAACAUGAAUUUUAUUCAUCGUUCAGUUUUCAGUUCUGUAAAUGUAUGUAAAUUAGUGCAUAUUUAAUUCAAUACUACCUCAUUUACAUAUUCAAACCAAUCAUUUGACUAAACUUGUGAGAUAAAAAACAUUUGUUAGACAUUUUUUAGGGUUAGGUGUUUUUUUUAUAAAUGUACCCGCCUAAUGAAACAAAGAAGCUCAUCGAUCUUCAGGGUCUGUUUUCAGACUUCAGUACUGAGGCACCGGUCCUUUCUUUUGUCUUUUUAAUGACUUUAUACUGUUCGCUGUUUGUAAAUAAACAUACAUAAAAGAUCAAACUAUCAACUCAAAUUCAGAGAUAUCUGCCUCUAUCUUUCACGUUAUGAUUCAGAAUGACGGACACUGUCACAGGAAGUCAAAACUGUCAAAUAAAAACGACUCUUUCUGAGUUUUCUGAGAUGUUUUUAAGUGCUGUCCUGGUCCUGUUAGCCUCAUUCAGUCAUUCACGUUCUCAGAGAGUCACUAGAGUCCACAAGGGGUCAGGGUUUUGGGUCUAUGGAGGAAAAUUGAGAUUCAGACACUCUCACAGAAACACCCCCAGUCCGCAGGAAGGAGACAGAGCUGUACGACAGGCUCAGCUGAAACAAACAGGACCCAGAGUCCAAAGACAAAGAUCUGGAGAUCGUCUGGAUCAGUAGACACAGUACAGGUGGGCACAUUUUGGGCUCUGAUCCAGUCUGAAACUAACAAACACUGUAAGACCGUCGAACUCUAAAUAAGAGGAAAAGUUUAAUUCAGCUUCAGUUUUUUCAAACUUACUGUCAAACCUGAAGGUCUUUGGAGCCUCGGACAUUAAAACUGUCCCUGUCCUUCCUCUGUGUGUGAUCCUGCAAACUCAAACCCUCAAACUCUGACACUCACAGCAAAGAUCAGAACCAGAGAUCCUCCUCUCACCUCACUGAAGCGCCCCCUGGCGGUGACAGAUGGGAAAGGUCCUGACAGCAGAAUCUGAGCCUGUCUUACUUUAACCUCAGUGAGUGUUUGGUAUAUUUCAGUAUGAUGUUUUAUUAAUACAGCUCCAUGUAUGAUUCAGCAAAUAUAAAACCUUUCUUUAACUCAAUAACAUCGACAAAAUUAAAUAAAGUCUCUUCCUCUUCCACUCAAACCGACAACUUUCUGCACAAAUUCAUCUUUGUGACCGUUAAAGAGAAGAAGAGACGGCUGGAUGUCAAACUACAGCAGCUCUUAUAGCAGGAAAAAUUAAUAAAAAAAUACUUUAAUUAUUAAGUGAAGAGAAAACACGAGGAUCUUUGAAAGAGGUUUCUGAGAUAAAACAGAGGGACUGUCUGUCAGUGGGUCCACACACCUGAGUUGUGUUUUUUUUAAUGCUCUACUGCCCCCUAGUGCUGAAAAGAUCUCUGGUUUGCAUUUUGUAAAAUUGGAACAUUUUCCAUCUGUGAGGUUAAAACACCAUCCAGUGUUGGUGAAUAUAUGACCCUGUGUUUACAUGACAGGAAGAUGAAAUAUGAGUUUAGGUUGUAAAUGACGGCGAUAAUCCUCUUCACCUCUGACCUCUGUUCACAUCACUCCUGUUUGUUUUGGGAUUAUUUCUUUUCUUUUAAAUUUUUGGAUUUAUUUCAUUUUUAAUUUUUUAAUUUUGUGUCUUUAUUCGAGAGAACAGGAUGGUGGAUGGAGGAGAAAUCGCAGAGACUGGACUCAAACCAUCAGCUUUGGGCGCCCAAACGUUUUUGAAUUUGACAGGCAGAUUUUUAUUAAAGGGAUAUUUCAGUAUUUUUUUAGAUAAGGUUAGUUGAGUUAUAGAUCUGUUUUUUUGCCACAAUCAAUGAUGAUCCCCUUAUAUGUUCGAAUUUCUGUUAGACGACACCGACUCUAUAAUUUAGCUUCAGUUUGCUCACCUGUAUCACCAGGUAACUCAGAAUCCUCCCGCUCUUUAGUUAGUAUAGAGAUUUCUGUGUGUUUUCUUUGAAACUAAGAUGGAGAGAUGGAGAUGCUUUAUUGUCAUUGCACUUGUGCACAACGAGAUUGCAUUUACAGAUGGGGAAAGAAGAGGCAAAUAAAGCUGAUGCUAAAGAGCUAAAAACUGCAGUUCAUCAACUGUCCACUAGAGGCCGAGAGAGACCACGUGUGCUCGGAUUCAAAGGAUUGGAUCGGCGCCGCUCGACUUGACCAAACUUUUCCAUGUCCACUCUCUAGAGGGAGCUGAAGUUGGCCAAUCAGCUGCUCCUGGAUUUGCCCUAAAACUUACUUUAGCAUUAGCUCCGCCCCCUAACCCUUGGAUCAGCUGACCUUUCAAAAAGAUCAGCUGUUACUGCUGCAUGUUGUUUUUUUUUCAUUAGUCAAAGUUAAAAAGAUGUUUGGUGUCUAGUACUAUGUCUGUGACCCUAUAUGUCCUGUUGAUGAAGUUAGGUGCUGUUCUGAGCAUUAUUUGUGGCUAUAGAGUGGCGUUUUGGUUGGGGGCGUGUCUCUCUGUAUUACUAUCCUGCGGUCGUUACUAAAGUUGGUAUAACUAGAGAAGCAAGCAGUUGGCAACAUUCAUCUCUGGAGGCGGGGUCUAACUCGGUGUUACGGUGAGUUUGACCCUAACUUAAUUUUACAUCAGAAUAUCCCUUUAAGGGUCAACUUUAGUGAUCAUGUUUUGUACAAUAAUUAUUUGAUAAAGACCUUUUUUACGUCUCCAAAUCUCAGAUUUAAAAGGAACAGUCCACAUAAAUAAUGAAUGUCUGUUCAGGUGUGAACAGCACUUUACUGUAUUGUGUAAUUUAAUCUUUGGUCAAACAACAAUAUCUACUGUAAAACCACCUCGCUGUAUUUUAUUGGUGUUUAGAUGAAGUUGGUGGAGAAACUGCAGAGACAGACCAAAAUCAGCUUUGACUUCAUUUAAAGGAGAAAACAGGAUCAUUCAGACGUUAGUUAAUCAUUUAUAACAGCCCAGUGAACAUAAACUCUUACUCUUCAGCUCUGUGUUUAAGUGAAGUUUGUAUAAUCUGUUCUCUUUUGUUUGUACCUGAGUCUACAGACAGUCUAUUUGUUAUAGAUGAGGACGAUGAAAUCACAGACACUUCAGAGAAAUACCACUUUGUCAUAUAAACUGUGUUUAAAAGGUUUAUUUUAAUAACUGACUUUCUGUGAAGUUUUAAGAAGCUUUUUCUUAAAUAUUUCAUUUUUUUAUUUUGUGUUAUAUUUACAUUAAACCUGUCAAAUCUGAGGAUGAUGAAACCACCAUGACUGCAGGGAAAUACGACAUUAUAUAAAGUCUGUAACUCCUCCCUCAGAGACUCUGACACCCUCAGUCAGUAAUCUUUACCUGGACUUUGCUCACUGUUUACAUGCAUACUACUUUAUUAUUUUGUGUUGUAUAUAAUGUACAUUCUUGUAUUUUAUCUCUUUAUUUUGACUUAUUUUACUUAUAUGUUGAGCUUCUCCACCGCUACACCCUCGCUUGCUCGGUGCCUCAGGUCAGCUGAUCAGCUGCUCCUGGAGGUACCGAGGUCCAAACUGAAGCUCAGAGGGAUCAGAUCUUUUUCUGUAUGGAACGAGUGACCCCUCCAAAUCAGACCAGCCCCCC